Molecule: ribosomal RNA, 328 nt
Filed under: uncultured eukaryote
Lineage: Eukaryota
Description: partial 18S ribosomal RNA
Rfam family: Eukaryotic small subunit ribosomal RNA
Source: RNAcentral
CCCUUAGAUGUUCUGGGCUGCACGCGCGCUACACUGAAGCUAUCAACACGUUUUCCCUCCCUGAGAAGGGCGGGUAACCUUUUGAAUCAGCUUCGUGGUAGGGAUCGGGGCUUGCAAUUGUUCCCCGUGAACCAGGAAUUCCUAGUAGACGCGAGUCAUCAGCUCGCGUUGAUUACGUCCCUGCCCUUUGUACACACCGCCCGUCGCUACUACCGAUUGAAUGGUUUAGUGAGGACUCCUGAUUGGCGCCGCCGCCCCGGCAACGGAGCAGCGGACUGCCGAAAAGUUGUUCAAACUUGAUCAUUUAGAGGAAGUAAAAGUCGUAACA